GGUCGUGAGUUCGAUGAGUAGGGCGGGACACGUGACAUCCUGUCUGAAUAUGGGGGGACCAUCCUCCAAGGCUAAAUACUCCUGACUGACCGAUAGUGAACCAGUACCGUGAGGGAAAGGCGAAAAGAACCCCGGCGAGGGGAGUGAAAUAGAACCUGAAACCGUGUACGUACAAGCAGUGGGAGCACCUUCGUGGUGUGACUGCGUACCUUUUUGUAUAAUGGGGUCAGCGACUUAUAUUUUUGUAGCAAGGUUAACCGUAUAGGGGAGCCGUAGGGAAACCGAGUCUUAACUGGGCGACUAGUUGCAAGGUAUAGACCCGAAACCCGGUGAUCUAGCCAUGGGCAGGUUGGAAGGUUGGGUAACACUAACUGGAGGACCGAACCGACUAAUGUUGAAAAUUAGCGGAUGAACUUGUGGCUGGGGGUGAAAGGCCAAUCAAACCGGGAGAUAGGCUGGAGUUCUCCCCGAAAGC
This 475-nucleotide ribosomal RNA is filed under the name Serratia nematodiphila DZ0503SBS1. RNAcentral's name for it is "bacterial LSU rRNA". It matches the Rfam family "Bacterial large subunit ribosomal RNA", at positions 395 to 866 of the family's 2925-position model. Lineage: Bacteria; Pseudomonadati; Pseudomonadota; Gammaproteobacteria; Enterobacterales; Yersiniaceae. The record is from RNAcentral.